GACGAACGCUGGCGGCGUGCCUAAUACAUGCAAGUAGAACGCACAGUUUAUACCGUAGCUUGCUACACCAUAGACUGUGAGUUGCGAACGGGUGAGUAACGCGUCGGUAACCUGCCUGGUAGCGUGGGAUAACUAUUGGAAACGAUAGCUAAUACCGCAUAAUAUUUAUUAUUGCAUGAUAAUUAAUUGAAAGGUGCAAUUGCACCACUACCAGAUGGACCUGCGUUGUAUUAGCUAGUAGGUGAGGUAACGGCUCACCUAGGCGACGAUACAUAGCCGACAUGGGAGGGUGAGAGGCCACACUGGGACUGAGACACGGCCCAGACGGCUACGGGAGGCAGCAGAAGGGAAUCUUCGGGAAUGGACGAAAGUAUGACCGAGCAACGCCGCGAGAGUGAAGAAGGUUUUCGGAUCGUAAAGCUCUGUUGUAAGAGAAGAACGGGUGUGAGGAUGGAAAGGUCACGCUGUGACGGUAAAUUACCAGAAAGGGACGGCUAACUAAGUG
Molecule: ribosomal RNA, 505 nt
Filed under: uncultured bacterium
Lineage: Bacteria
Description: partial 16S ribosomal RNA
Rfam family: Bacterial small subunit ribosomal RNA
Source: RNAcentral